ACUCCCAACCCAUGUGAACAUACCUACUGUUGCUUCGGCGGGAUUGCCCCGGGCGCCUCGUGUGCCCCGGAUCAGGCGCCCGCCUAGGAAACUUAACUCUUGUUUUAUUUUGGAAUCUUCUGAGUAGUUUUUACAAAUAAAUAAAAACUUUCAACAACGGAUCUCUUGGUUCUGGCAUCGAUGAAGAACGCAGCGAAAUGCGAUAAGUAAUGUGAAUUGCAGAAUUCAGUGAAUCAUCGAAUCUUUGAACGCACAUUGCGCCCGCCAGUAUUCUGGCGGGCAUGCCUGUCUGAGCGUCAUUUCAACCCUCAUGCCCCUAGGGCGUGGUGUUGGGGAUCGGCCAAAGCCCGCGAGGGACGGCCGGCCCCUAAAUCUAGUGGCGGACCCGUCGUGGCCUCCUCUGCGAAGUAGUGAUAUUCCGCAUCGGAGAGCGACGAGCCCCUGCCGUUAAACCCCCAACUUUCCAAGGUUGACCUCAGAUCAGGUAGGAAUACCCGCUGAACUUAAGCAUAUCAAUAAGCGGAGGAA
RNAcentral lists this ribosomal RNA (528 nucleotides) under Clonostachys rosea. RNAcentral describes it as "eukaryotic LSU rRNA". The stretch from base 146 to 299 matches the Rfam family "5.8S ribosomal RNA". Lineage: Eukaryota; Fungi; Ascomycota; Sordariomycetes; Hypocreales; Bionectriaceae. The record is from RNAcentral.